This 307-nucleotide unclassified non-coding RNA is filed under the name plant metagenome. RNAcentral's name for it is "partial contains 5.8S ribosomal RNA, internal transcribed spacer 2, and large subunit ribosomal RNA". The stretch from base 1 to 105 matches the Rfam family "5.8S ribosomal RNA", at positions 50 to 154 of the family's 154-position model. The record is from RNAcentral.
GAAAUGCGAUAAGUAAUGUGAAUUGCAGAAUUCAGUGAAUCAUCGAAUCUUUGAACGCACAUUGCGCCCGCCAGCACUCUGGCGGGCAUGCCUGUUCGAGCGUCAUUUCAACCCUCAGAACCCCUUGCGGGAUCUGGCGUUGGGGAUUGGCAUCCAGCCAGCCCCGAAAUCUAGUGGCGGUCCCUCCGCGACCUCCCCUGUGCAGUAGCGAUACCUCGCAGCGGGACAGCGGUCUGACCACGCCGUAAAACCCCCAACUUCUCAAGGUUGAUCUCAAAUCAGGUAGGACUACCCGCUGAACUUAAGC